GACGAACGCUGGCGGCGUGCUUAACACAUGCAAGUCGAACGGAAAGGCCCUGCUUUUGGGGGGUGCUCGAGUGGCGAACGGGUGAGUAACAAGUGAGUAACCUGCCCUUGACUGUGGGAUAACUUCAGGAAACUGGGGCUAAUACCGGAUAGGAGCUCCUGCUGCAUGGUGGGGGGUGGAAAGUUUCGGCGGUUGGGGAGGGACUCGCGGCUUAUCAGCUUGUUGGUGGGGUAGUGGCUUACCAAGGCUUUGACGGGUAGCCGGCCUGAGAGGGUGACCGGCCACAUUGGGACUGAGAUACGGCCCAGACUCCUACGGGAGGCAGCAGUGGGGAAUAUUGCACAAUGGGCGGAAGCCUGAUGCAGCAACGCCGCGUGCGGGAUGACGGCCUUCGGGUUGUAAACCGCUUUCGCCUGUGACGAAGCGUGAGUGGCGGUAAUGGGUAAAGAAGCACCGGCUAACUACGUG
RNAcentral lists this ribosomal RNA (468 nucleotides) under uncultured bacterium. Its description in RNAcentral is "partial 16S ribosomal RNA". It matches the Rfam family "Bacterial small subunit ribosomal RNA", at positions 28 to 507 of the family's 1533-position model. The record is from RNAcentral.